RNAcentral lists this ribosomal RNA (253 nucleotides) under uncultured bacterium. RNAcentral's name for it is "partial 16S ribosomal RNA". It matches the Rfam family "Bacterial small subunit ribosomal RNA", at positions 524 to 776 of the family's 1533-position model. The record is from RNAcentral.
UACGGGGGGGGUAAGCGUUGUUCGGAAUUACUGGGCGUAAAGGGCUCGUAGGCGGCCAACUAAGUCAGACGUGAAAUCCCUCAGCUUAGCUGGGGAACUGCGUCUGAUACUGGAUGGCUUGGAUUUGGGAGAGGGAUGCGGAAUUCCAGGUGUAGCGGUGAAAUGCGUAGAUAUCUGGAGGAACACCGGUGGCGAAGGCGGCAUCCUGGACCAAUAUUGACGCUGAGGAGCGAAAGCCAGGGGAGCAAACGGG